Molecule: ribosomal RNA, 253 nt
Filed under: uncultured bacterium
Lineage: Bacteria
Description: partial 16S ribosomal RNA
Rfam family: Bacterial small subunit ribosomal RNA
Source: RNAcentral
UACGUAGGGUGCGAGUGUUGUUCGGAGUUACUGGGCGUAAAGCGCGCGUAGGCGGCUUGACAAGUCGAGUGUGAAAUCCCCGGGCUUAACCUGGGAGCUGCAUUCGAAACUGUCUUGCUAGAGUAUGGGAGAGGGAGGUGGAAUUUCAGGUGUAGCGGUGAAAUGCGUAGAUAUCUGAAGGAACAUCAGUGGCGAAAGCGACCUCCUGGACCAAUACUGACGCUCAGGUGCGAAAGCGUGGGGAGCAAACAGG